This 629-nucleotide ribosomal RNA is filed under the name uncultured eukaryote. RNAcentral's name for it is "SSU rRNA". It matches the Rfam family "Eukaryotic small subunit ribosomal RNA", at positions 610 to 1269 of the family's 1831-position model. The record is from RNAcentral.
UUGUUGCAGUUAAAAAGCUCGUAGUUGGACCUUGGGCAGGAGGCACGGGUUGGCCGAAUGGCUCGACUCGGGUCUCCGGCCUCUAUGGGUGGUCGUGCCUUUGGUACGGUUCGCCCGGGUUACUGUGAAGAAAUUAGAGUGUUUAAAGCAGGCGAUUGCUUGGAUACAUCAGCAUGGAAUAACAAGAUAGGACCUGGUUCCACUUGUUGGUUUGGGGGCUUUGGUAAUGAUUAAUAGGGCCAGUUGGGGGCAUUAGUAUUCAGUAGUCAGAGGUGAAAUUCUUGGAUUUACUGAAGACUAACUAGUGCGAAAGCAUUUGCCAAGUAUGUUUUCAUUAAUCAAGAACGAAAGUUAGGGGAUCGAAGACGAUCAGAUACCGUCGUAGUCUUAACUAUAAACGAUGCCGACUCGGGAUCGGCAGACGUCGUUAGCGACACUGUCGGCACCGUGUGAGAAAUCAAAGUUUUUGGGUUCUGGGGGGAGUAUGGUCGCAAGGCUGAAACUUAAAGGAAUUGACGGAAGGGCACCACCAGGAGUGGAGCCUGCGGCUUAAUUUGACUCAACACGGGAAAACUCACCAGGUCCGGACAUAGUAAGGAUUGACAGAUUGAGAGCUCUUUCUUGAUUCU